Molecule: long non-coding RNA, 407 nt
Filed under: Populus tremula
Lineage: Eukaryota; Viridiplantae; Streptophyta; Magnoliopsida; Malpighiales; Salicaceae
Description: long non-coding RNA (PTRE_LNC003309)
Source: RNAcentral
AAAAACUGGGGAUUGAAAAGAGGGAAACCAGUGGGAUUUUGGACGAGAAACCGAGGAAAAACUCCAGCUAAACCCAGACGAAAAACCAUAGAAGAAAAUCAGAGAAAAGAGGAGAGAAAAAGCAGAGCAUAAAUCCAAAGCACAAAUUCGCAGAGAGAAGGAGAAGAGAGAGGGGCAAUACAGAGAAGAAUCACCUUGUUAUUGUCUUCAUCGCUGCAGAAAAAGAAGAACCCGAAGUCAGUAAAAAACUCAGAAAAGCUGGCAUAUGCAUUACUUUCUUAGUUAGCUCACCUCAAGAACUGAGAAGAAGGGAGAACAGUGAACGCAGCGGGGAGAAGGCAAAGAACACGAACAGAAGAGGAAAGCAGAGGAGAGCAGAUGUUAAGUAAAAAAACUCAACAAACAGA